Molecule: ribosomal RNA, 671 nt
Filed under: Amolops ricketti (Chinese sucker frog)
Lineage: Eukaryota; Metazoa; Chordata; Amphibia; Anura; Ranidae
Description: partial 12S ribosomal RNA
Rfam family: Bacterial small subunit ribosomal RNA
Source: RNAcentral
CCCAAGUUGAUAGUCAUCGGCGUUAAGCGUGAUUAGAGUACCAAACAAGUUAGGGUUAAAUUAAUACCUAGUAGUAAUAAGCUUGUCAUUAAGAAAAUCAUAAACGAAAGUUACCCUAAUAAACACUUGAAUACACGACAGCUGGGAACCAAACUGGGAUUAGAUACCCCACUAUGCCCAGCCGUAAACAAUUAACUUACACUAAUAAACGCCAGGGAACUACGAGCUAUGCUUAAAACCCAAAGGACUUGACGGUGUCCCAUACCAACUAGAGGAGCCUGUUCUAUAAUCGAUGAUCCCCGCUAUACCUAACCAUCCCUUGCUUUAUCAGCCUGUAUACCUCCGUCAUAAGCCUACCAUGUGAACGUCAACAGUGGGCCCAAUGGUUUGUAUAACCAAAAUGCCAGGUCAAGGUGCAGCUCACGGAAUGGUAAGUAAUGGGCUACAAUUUCUAAUCUAGAACAAACGGAAAGCUAUGUGAAAUCACAGCCUAAAGGUGGAUUUAGUAGUAAAAAGAAAAUAGAGUGUUCUUUUUAACCCGGCCCUGGGACACGUACACACCGCCCGUCACCCUCUUCAAUAGCUCUCAUUCAUGUAUAUUACACUAUAUCUGCGUUUUAGAAGAGGCAAGUCGUAACAUGGUAAGUGUACUGGAAAGUGCACUUGGUUAA